CAGGAAGGAUCCAUGCUCAUCAUUGAACUUGAGAGAGCAACCAAUCUGAGAAGGGCAGAAACUGAAUAUAAGGCUGACAGCCAGCAAGCUUCUGUGUGGGUGCAAGGAAGCAAAGAAGAUAGCAGCAGAGGAAGACAGCAGAGCAAGAAGACAACAGAGUACAUACAGAAGAAUAGCACCAGCAAUGAAAAGAGGAAAGCAGACACAGGAGAGCAGUAGACAGAUCAAAAGGACCUAAAUGGUACAGAUGACUCAAGAAGACAGAGUGCUAUCUCCUAAGGAACAUGAGCAGGCUCAACAGCUACAACACCAGACCUAUCUGUUCAGAUAAAGCUGGUCUUAGGGAGGAGCUCUUUUGGAAUAUUCCUGUAUAAUUGAAACAAUGAGCUAUAACUGUGCCCUUCAACACCAAAUUCUUCUUACUUCAAUGCGAUGCUGGAAGCAGUUGUAUAAUAGUUACCACAAUGAUGUGUACAAUGGACUGUCAGAUCAGAUCCUGGGGGUCUGUAUUAUAUCCCAAGCAGAAAAGUAACAGAAGUCCAAGACUUUGCAGAUUGGCGUUGCUGGAACAUGAAUCUGUAAUGCAGAAACAAGCCUGGGCACCAAACCAGAAGAAUCAAUUACUCACUGUGACUAUUUAUUUAUCACAUCUGCACAGUCUACCUGCUCCACCCAUGAAGCUCCUAUGGCAGGAUCUGAGCCUUAAUCAUUAAACCUCAAAUAUUAACCAGUCCACUAAGUUCACCUUUCAUCAUGGAAUCUCCAGCGAUGUAAAGCUGUCAGAAAUGUCAUAAGCACUUCUGUGUCAGGCUGCGCCACCCCCCAAAGUGGCAUGUCAAUGGUGGGCUGAGGGCAUGACCCAAGGGACAAGAGUGGGUGUGGUGGAGCCAAGCUCCACUAUUGGCUAGUCACUGUUUUUUUGAAGCUUAUCCCAGCACUAGAGGAUAUGUCUUAACUGUGUUUAGUAAAGUGUCAUGUACAAAUAUGGUGCUGAAUAAAUGUUUUAAGAUGAUCCUAUAGCUCAGUGUGACCCCAUUAGUGCCGAUAAAGCAGUGUUAUGUUCAUAAUCCACAGGGAAUUGCAUUCAGUUCAUCAACUAGUCAGAUGGUCGUAAUGCUAAUGCUGAAUCUUAAGAAAAGGAGAAGUAUACAAUAAAGGAAAUAUCAGGGAUGCAUUGGACCUCCUGCUUCGAAAAUGAAAGAAACAUAUUCAAUCCUGCAUGAAGGGCUACUUUCUAUCUAGAGGUGCCUUUAUGACUCUCAACACCAUAUUGUUUGUGCACUGUGUUAGUAGCUGGGACCCGGCUUCAGCAAAGCAUUUGAGUGCUUUGAUGAAUUGAGGCUUGAGUGCCUGGUAACCCCUAUCAGUGAACACUUUAAAGCAUUUCCAAACUUUCCGGUACAAUACAGGUCAACUUCUAGCCAGCCAAGUCACGGGUUUUUAUUGAGCCAUUCAGUGGUCAUUUCAGGCAGCUUUUACUGUAAAUAAAAAUGAGAGAGAGAGAAAACACAAUGUUCAUUGAACCAAACAGCCACAUCCAAAUCCAGGCUUGCCCUCAAAGCAGUUUUCUUCUUCAACAUUAAAAUCUAUACAGCACAUAAUCCUGAGGAGUUUGAAUUGUGCACCACUUUCCAAAGUAAUGAAGCAAUAAGCCUUAAUGAAAUAACAUCUUCACAGUACACAGUUAGCUCCUUUGCCAGUGCUAUUUCUUUUCAAUUUUGAAGCCUAGAAAACACAAAUAGAAUAUCCUGGGUAUCACAAUAGUUAUAUAGUUACAACUGAAAGGAAUAAUGUACAGUCGUUUUUAUUUAUCCUGAUAAAAUAGAAUAUGAGGCCUGCUGUAAAUGGGACAUCUCAUUAGUUUUUCAUUCAAAGGAACACAUUUUAGACCUUUAUAAGAGUAGAUUGGUCUAAAAAGCCUGUUACACAAAUCCAUGAAAAUAUUUUCCAAAGAAUUAUAGAGCUUGUAAAUAAUGGGUGAAAAGUUGUUUUUUUAAAUAUGUAUUCAACAUAAUAAAUGGAAAAUAUGUUAUGCCUUUCAGAAGAGCUAUGAGUGCAGUUUGAUUUUGUGGUGCAGGAGAAGAAGGGGAAGUUAACUGCAUGUUUAGAUAUUCCAGUGAAUGCAGGUCCUCAUGCCACAAAGCAAUGAGGCAAAAUCAAGCAAAAUUAUGCCACUAUUGAGAAGUAAUAGUUCUAACACAGAAGGAAAGA
This is a long non-coding RNA of Trachemys scripta elegans, 2211 nucleotides long. RefSeq lists it as uncharacterized. NCBI's taxonomy places the organism in Eukaryota, Metazoa, Chordata, Testudines, Emydidae. The record is from RefSeq and is a predicted model, not a curated record. The transcript has 5 exons.